RNAcentral lists this ribosomal RNA (453 nucleotides) under uncultured Porphyromonadaceae bacterium. Its description in RNAcentral is "partial 16S ribosomal RNA". It matches the Rfam family "Bacterial small subunit ribosomal RNA", at positions 341 to 792 of the family's 1533-position model. The record is from RNAcentral. Lineage: Bacteria; Pseudomonadati; Bacteroidota; Bacteroidia; Bacteroidales; Porphyromonadaceae.
ACGGAAGGCAGCAGUGAGGAAUAUUGGUCAAUGGACGGAAGUCUGAACCAGCCAAGUCGCGUGAAGGAUGAAGGUAUUAUGUAUUGUAAACUUCUUUAGCAGUGGAGUAAUAAGGGGAUCGUGAUCCCUGAUGCAAGUACACUGAGAAUAAGGAUCGGCUAACUCCGUGCCAGCAGCCGCGGUAAUACGGAGGAUCCGAGCGUUAUCCGGAUUUAUUGGGUUUAAAGGGUGCGCAGGCGGCUUUUUAAGUCAGUGGUUAAAUCGUGACGCUCAACGUCAUCACGCCAUUGAUACUGGAGAGCUUGAUUGCGGUCGAGGUUUGCGGAAUUCGUUGUGUAGCGGUGAAAUGCAUAGAUAUGACGAAGAACACCGAUUGCGUAGGCAGCAGACCAGGCCGUAAAUGACGCUCAUGCACGAAAGUGCGGGGAUCGGACAGGAUUAGAUACCCUGGUA